This 73-nucleotide transfer RNA is filed under the name Stegodyphus mimosarum. It matches the Rfam family "tRNA". From Rfam's summary of the family: Transfer RNA (tRNA) molecules are approximately 80 nucleotides in length. Lineage: Eukaryota; Metazoa; Arthropoda; Arachnida; Araneae; Eresidae. The record is from Rfam by way of RNAcentral.
GCCUUCGUGGUGUAGUGGUCUGCAUGCUCGAUCCGUAAACGAGAGGUCUGUGGUUCGAUUCCCGGCGAAGGCG